GCAAAGUGCAAAUUUGAAGGAGCACCAUAAGCGGUGCCGGGGCUU
RNAcentral lists this transfer RNA (45 nucleotides) under Paroedura ibityensis. RNAcentral's name for it is "partial tRNA-Cys". Lineage: Eukaryota; Metazoa; Chordata; Lepidosauria; Squamata; Gekkonidae. The record is from RNAcentral.